GCACUGGUGAGCUCGCUAGCGUCUUACCCUAAAAACGACUGACACCUUCCUGGAAAAGGGACCAUCCCUGAACAGUUUACAAACACUGACAGGAAACGCCACCGGAAGCACUCUGCGGGGAGAGUCGUGAUUGGUCGGACGCCCGGUCACAUGAUCGAAGCGAGGUGACCCACAUUUUCCGCCAUGAUUGUGAGGGAGUGGCGGAAGCUGCGUGGAUGUGGGAGUUACGUAGAGAUGUCUGUGUUGCUUUGAAAAGAGCACACUCCCUCCCCAGGCAGCCUGAAACAAAAGACAAAACAGACAAACCUCGGAGUGUUCCUACAUUUCAAUGAAUACAAGACAAGCUUACACAAAACCAAGACUUGUCAACAGACGUGGGCUUUUCUUCCACCAGAGGACUCACGUCUACGUGCAUCCAGAGCUUGUGUUUCUCACAGACAUCAGCUAUGUGGUCCAAUGGGUCAAAGGCCCCCCGAACCGUGGUUCCUGAUGUGCAGCUUACAAGGAAUGGCGCUGCACCCUGGUAGCAACAAA
Long non-coding RNA from Xiphias gladius (swordfish), 534 nucleotides. RefSeq lists it as uncharacterized. Lineage: Eukaryota; Metazoa; Chordata; Actinopteri; Istiophoriformes; Xiphiidae. The record is from RefSeq and is a predicted model, not a curated record. The transcript has 3 exons.